This 2111-nucleotide ribosomal RNA is filed under the name Salmonella enterica subsp. enterica. RNAcentral's name for it is "partial 23S ribosomal RNA". It matches the Rfam family "Bacterial large subunit ribosomal RNA", at positions 711 to 2802 of the family's 2925-position model. Lineage: Bacteria; Pseudomonadati; Pseudomonadota; Gammaproteobacteria; Enterobacterales; Enterobacteriaceae. The record is from RNAcentral. RNAcentral also lists the same sequence under 1 other name.
AGACCCGAAACCCGGUGAUCUAGCCAUGGGCAGGUUGAAGGUUGGGUAACACUAACUGGAGGACCGAACCGACUAAUGUUGAAAAAUUAGCGGAUGACCUGUGGCUGGGGGUGAAAGGCCAAUCAAACCGGGAGAUAGCUGGUUCUCCCCGAAAGCUAUUUAGGUAGCGCCUCGUGAAUUCAUCUCCGGGGGUAGAGCACUGUUUCGGCUAGGGGGCCAUCCCGGCUUACCAACCCGAUGCAAACUGCGAAUACCGGAGAAUGUUAUCACGGGAGACACACGGCGGGUGCUAACGUCCGUCGUGAAGAGGGAAACAACCCAGACCGCCAGCUAAGGUCCCAAAGUCAUGGUUAAGUGGGAAACGAUGUGGGAAGGCCCAGACAGCCAGGAUGUUGGCUUAGAAGCAGCCAUCAUUUAAAGAAAGCGUAAUAGCUCACUGGUCGAGUCGGCCUGCGCGGAAGAUGUAACGGGGCUAAACCAUGCACCGAAGCUGCGGCAGCGACGCUGAUGCGUUGUUGGGUAGGGGAGCGUUCUGUAAGCCUGUGAAGGUGGCCUGUGAGGGUUGCUGGAGGUAUCAGAAGUGCGAAUGCUGACAUAAGUAACGAUAAAGCGGGUGAAAAGCCCGCUCGCCGGAAGACCAAGGGUUCCUGUCCAACGUUAAUCGGGGCAGGGUGAGUCGACCCCUAAGGCGAGGCCGAAAGGCGUAGUCGAUGGGAAACGGGUUAAUAUUCCCGUACUUGGUGUUACUGCGAAGGGGGGACGGAGAAGGCUAUGUUGGCCGGGCGACGGUUGUCCCGGUUUAAGCGUGUAGGUGUGUGUUCCAGGUAAAUCCGGUUCACUUUAACACUGAGGCGUGAUGACGAGGCACUACGGUGCUGAAGCAACAAAUGCCCUGCUUCCAGGAAAAGCCUCUAAGCAUCAGGUAACAUCAAAUCGUACCCCAAACCGACACAGGUGGUCAGGUAGAGAAUACCAAGGCGCUUGAGAGAACUCGGGUGAAGGAACUAGGCAAAAUGGUGCCGUAACUUCGGGAGAAGGCACGCUGACACGUAGGUGAAGUGAUUUACUCAUGGAGCUGAAGUCAGUCGAAGAUACCAGCUGGCUGCAACUGUUUAUUAAAAACACAGCACUGUGCAAACACGAAAGUGGACGUAUACGGUGUGACGCCUGCCCGGUGCCGGAAGGUUAAUUGAUGGGGUCAGCGCAAGCGAAGCUCCUGAUCGAAGCCCCGGUAAACGGCGGCCGUAACUAUAACGGUCCUAAGGUAGCGAAAUUCCUUGUCGGGUAAGUUCCGACCUGCACGAAUGGCGUAAUGAUGGCCAGGCUGUCUCCACCCGAGACUCAGUGAAAUUGAACUCGCUGUGAAGAUGCAGUGUACCCGCGGCAAGACGGAAAGACCCCGUGAACCUUUACUAUAGCUUGACACUGAACAUUGAGCCUUGAUGUGUAGGAUAGGUGGGAGGCUUUGAAGUGUGGACGCCAGUCUGCAUGGAGCCGACCUUGAAAUACCACCCUUUAAUGUUUGAUGUUCUAACGUGGACCCGUGAUCCGGGUUGCGGACAGUGUCUGGUGGGUAGUUUGACUGGGGCGGUCUCCUCCUAAAGAGUAACGGAGGAGCACGAAGGUUGGCUAAUCCUGGUCGGACAUCAGGAGGUUAGUGCAAUGGCAUAAGCCAGCUUGACUGCGAGCGUGACGGCGCGAGCAGGUGCGAAAGCAGGUCAUAGUGAUCCGGUGGUUCUGAAUGGAAGGGCCAUCGCUCAACGGAUAAAAGGUACUCCGGGGAUAACAGGCUGAUACCGCCCAAGAGUUCAUAUCGACGGCGGUGUUUGGCACCUCGAUGUCGGCUCAUCACAUCCUGGGGCUGAAGUAGGUCCCAAGGGUAUGGCUGUUCGCCAUUUAAAGUGGUACGCGAGCUGGGUUUAGAACGUCGUGAGACAGUUCGGUCCCUAUCUGCCGUGGGCGCUGGAGAACUGAGGGGGGCUGCUCCUAGUACGAGAGGACCGGAGUGGACGCAUCACUGGUGUUCGGGUUGUCAUGCCAAUGGCACUGCCCGGUAGCUAAAUGCGGAAGAGAUAAGUGCUGAAAGCAUCUAAGCACGAAACUUGCCCCGA